UGGACACGCAGGAGGACGGUGAGCUGAUUCAUCAGCCCUGCGUUAAAGAUACAUAAUGGAAUAUAAUGGAAGGGAAAAGACUCAUAACAGAGGAGAAGAAAAAGUGAAAAUCCACAGCUUUUUAGGAUCUCUAUAAAGGACUGCGUAGUGAACCUCUCUUUAAUAACUUUGACCAAAGCAAUAUUUUGCCAUUCCCCUCCUGCCACUGGAUGAUGGAGUGCGGCCAGCCCUGUGCCCUCCCGCUGCGCAGACACGGGGUACCCACAGCUCCUCGGGGGGCUCGGCACCUCUCGCUACACGGAGCCGAACAGCGUGCCUGCCACGCCGAGCAGGAGAGGGAGAAGACUUUGCAAGGGAGGAUGCUACAAAUCAGGAGGAAGGUGUGCGAGGAAGGCUGUGUGAUGGAGUGCCUGCCUGCUCUGCUGCCGCCAGCCCUCCAGCCUGGAGAGCCCGUUCCGGGGAAAUAAAGGAAAAGCAAAAAUAAUUCCAAAAUCCUCUUCUAAAAGCGUGGCCUGAUAACAAUUCCCAACCACUGCCAUGGGACAGCGUGCUUUGGACCAUUGGGACCUCCACUGCGGACAAAGCUUCCUACACUCACCAGCUUGCUGUAAAUUCCCUGAUUUCCCUUGGUCUUUUAUUUUGCAGUGCCGUGGCCGCUGAGGUCAGUUGGUUGCUCACUCGGUGGCCGGGGCAUCAAAAUGUUUUUUAUAUAUUUGCACUGCCAUAACACUUAAAAUCUUAGUGAUGGCCCAAAGCACUGCUCUGGUGGCACCACUGGCGUGGUGUGUGGCAGGGACACACGCUGUCGGUCAGGGGCUGCUCGGCCAGCGAGACUCCUCAAAAGUGCAUUUUUGGGGGCCUUCUCCCCACCAAGCACCGUACCUGUUUCCCAGAUGUAGCAAAGUCACAGAGAUACCUGGGAUAAGGUCUCCAAUCAACCUUCUGAAGUUGAGAACCUGAAUGUCGUGGUUGCUGUACUGGAUUUGAGGCUCUCACUGUUAUUUCGGUUAUAGCAAAGAGCCUUAGACAUUACAGGUGCUAAGACUUGCUGAGGUCGCAUCCACAGGCAGUGGUUGUCCAGACAAGAUGGGCAAAGGCUGUGGCACAAGCACUCUUAGAUAAACUAUAUGUACUGUGACUGUUUUCUUUCAUUAUUUUCUUAAGU
Molecule: long non-coding RNA, 1165 nt
Organism: Cuculus canorus (common cuckoo)
Lineage: Eukaryota; Metazoa; Chordata; Aves; Cuculiformes; Cuculidae
Exons: 4
Source: RefSeq, a predicted model, not a curated record